This 324-nucleotide ribosomal RNA is filed under the name uncultured eukaryote. Its description in RNAcentral is "partial 18S ribosomal RNA". It matches the Rfam family "Eukaryotic small subunit ribosomal RNA", at positions 1470 to 1796 of the family's 1831-position model. The record is from RNAcentral.
CCCUUAGAUGUUCUGGGCUGCACGCGCGCUACACUGAAGCGUUCAACGAGUAUUCACCUUGCCCGGGAGGGUUGGGUAAUCUUUUGAAAACGCUUCGUGAUGGGGAUAGAUUAUUGCAAUUAUUAAUCUUCAACGAGGAAUUCCUAGUAAGCGCGAGUCAUCAGCUCGUGCUGAUUACGUCCCUGCCCUUUGUACACACCGCCCGUCGCACCUACCGAUUGAAUGGUCCGGUGAAAUCUCCGGACUGGCGUGAGUCGGAGCAAUCUGACAAACGCCGGAAAGUUGAUUAAACCUUACCAUUUAGAGGAAGGUGAANUCGUANCA